RNAcentral lists this transfer RNA (71 nucleotides) under Bacteriophage sp. Its description in RNAcentral is "tRNA-OTHER". The record is from RNAcentral.
GAAGAGGCGCCCCUGCUAAGGGCGUAGGGUGGGAAACCGCCGCGAGAGUUCAAAUCUCUCUUACUCCGCCA